AACCUUGUUGAUAUUAUCAGACUUGUUGCAAGGUUGUUCCAACGGGUCCGAUACAGUCAUGAUAUAACAAUAAUGUUACAAUAUUGUGUCAUCAACUUUAUAACAUUCUUGUUAUAUCAUGACUGUAUCAGACUUGUUAGAACACCCACCUUGUAACAAGUCUGAUAAUGACAUCAAGCUU
Molecule: non-coding RNA, 181 nt
Organism: Paramuricea clavata
Lineage: Eukaryota; Metazoa; Cnidaria; Anthozoa; Malacalcyonacea; Plexauridae
Source: the annotation of a GenBank genome assembly